This 496-nucleotide ribosomal RNA is filed under the name Chrysomela confluens. RNAcentral describes it as "partial 16S ribosomal RNA". The stretch from base 369 to 496 matches the Rfam family "Bacterial large subunit ribosomal RNA", at positions 2473 to 2601 of the family's 2925-position model. The record is from RNAcentral. Lineage: Eukaryota; Metazoa; Arthropoda; Insecta; Coleoptera; Chrysomelidae.
UAAUUUAAAGUCUAGCCUGCCCAAUGAUUAUUAAAUGGCCGCGGUAUUUUGACCGUGCUAAGGUAGCAUAAUCAAUAGUUUUUUAAUUGAAAGCUGGAAUGAAGGGUUGGAUAAGAAAAUAACUGUUUUUAUUUAAUUUAAUUAGAAUUUUAUUUUUAAGUUAAAAAGCUUAAAUUUUAUUAAAAGACGAGAAGACCCUAUAGAGUUUCAUAAAUAACUAUAUUAAUAUAUUAAGAAUUAAUUUUAUUAAUAAAUGUAUUUAUUUAAUUGGGGUGAUUGAAAAAUUAAAUAAACUUUUUUUAUAUUAAAACAUUUAUAAAUGAAAAUUUGAUCCAUGAUUAAUGAUUAUAAGAUAAAAUUACCUUAGGGAUAACAGCGUUAUCUUUUUUUAGAGUUCAAAUCGAAAUAAAGGAUUGCGACCUCGAUGUUGGAUUAAAAUUAAUUUUUGGUGUAGAAGCUAAAAUAUUAGGUCUGUUCGACCUUUAAAAUUUUACAU